GAUGAACGCUGGCGGCGUGCCUAACACAUGCAAGUCGAGCGAACGGACCAUAAGCUUGCGUCUUUGAUGUUAGCGGCGGACGGGUGAGUAACACGUGGAUCACCUACUUAUAUGUCUGGGAUAAUUUCGGGAAACCGUAUCUAAUACCGGAGAAUAUUUUGAACCGCAGGGUUCAAAAGUGAAAGACGGUCUUGCUGUCACUUAUAGACGGUUCCGCGCUGCAUGAGCUAGUUGGUAAGGUAACGGCUUACCAAGGCAACGAUGCAUAGCCGACCUGAGAGGGGGUUCGGCCACACGGGAACUGAGACGCGGCCCAGGCUCCGAGGGGAGGCAGCGGGAGGGAAUCUUGCGAAAGGGGCGAAAGCCUGACGGAGCAACGCCGGGUGAGUGAUGAAGCGCUUCGGAUCGUAAAACUCUGUUAUUAGGGAAGAACAUAUGUGUAUGUAACUGUGCACAUCUUGACGGUACCUAAGCAGAAAGCCACGGCUAACUCCGG
RNAcentral lists this ribosomal RNA (496 nucleotides) under uncultured bacterium. RNAcentral's name for it is "partial 16S ribosomal RNA". It matches the Rfam family "Bacterial small subunit ribosomal RNA", at positions 28 to 506 of the family's 1533-position model. The record is from RNAcentral.